This is a long non-coding RNA of Xyrauchen texanus (razorback sucker), 706 nucleotides long. RefSeq lists it as uncharacterized. Lineage: Eukaryota; Metazoa; Chordata; Actinopteri; Cypriniformes; Catostomidae. The record is from RefSeq and is a predicted model, not a curated record. The transcript has 3 exons.
AGAUGUGUAUGACUUUUAUUCUUCUGCAGAACACAAAGAUUUUUAGAAGAAUAUUUCAGCUGACCAGAACUUUGAUGGUCCAAAAGGGACAUAAAGGCAGUUUAAAAGUAAUCCAAACGACUUCAGUGUUUAAAUCCAUAUCUUCAGAAGUGAUAUGUUAGGUGAGGGUGAGAAAAAGUCCUUUUUUUUUUUUACUGAAAAUCUACACUUUCACAUCAGAAUGUGGACUUUCACUUUUACAUUCAGCCACGUACUGGUCGGAGCUGGUCAAAGGUGGAGACUGAUAGUAAAAAAAGGACUUAAAUAUUGAUCUGUUUCUCACCCACACCUAUCAUAUCAAGUCAUGGAUUUAACAACUGGAGUCAUAGGGAUUUUACGCUGUCUUUAUGUCCUUUUUGGACCUUCUGAGUUCACCAUUCACUUGCAUUGUAUGGACCUACAGAGCUGAAAUAUUCUUCUAAAAAUCUUAAUUUGUGUUCUGCUGAAGAAAGAAAGUCAUACACAUCUGGGAUGGCAUGAAGGUUUAAAAAUCAGAGGAUCGUCUUUGAAUAAGUCCAAAGCCUGAAUGACAUUCUCAAAGCUGUAUUUGAGGGACGUAUUUUUGCACAGCUGCAUCUAGAUUUAUCUUACCCUCCUCCCAGAGUCGAACGACGGCCGCUGUGGUCAGAGGUUUACUGAUGCUGGCGAUUCUCAUCACUGUGUCGGG